AACGCGAAGAACCUUACCUACCCUUGACAUGUACGGAACCUCUGAGAGAUUAGAGGGUGCUCGAAAGAGAGCCGUAACACAGGUGCUGCAUGGCUGUCGUCAGCUCGUGUCGUGAGAUGUUGGGUUAAGUCCCGCAACGAGCGCAACCCUUGUCAUUAGUUGCUACGAAAGGGCACUCUAAUGAGACUGCCGGUGACAAACCGGAGGAAGGUGGGGAUGACGUCAAGUCCUCAUGGCCCUUAUGGGUAGGGCUUCACACGUCAUACAAUGGUACAUACAGAGGGCCGCCAACCCGCGAGGGGGAGCUAAUCCCAGAAAGUGUAUCGUAGUCCGGAUUGUAGUCUGCAACUCGACUACAUGAAGUUGGAAUCGCUAGUAAUCGCGGAUCAGCAUGUCGCGGUGAAUACGUUCCCGGGCCUUGUACACACCGCGCAUA
This 436-nucleotide ribosomal RNA is filed under the name uncultured bacterium. Its description in RNAcentral is "bacterial SSU rRNA". It matches the Rfam family "Bacterial small subunit ribosomal RNA", at positions 958 to 1398 of the family's 1533-position model. The record is from RNAcentral.